GCUGUCGUCAGCUCGUGUCGUGAGAUGUUGGGUUAAGUCCCGUAACGAGCGCAACCCUUGUCCUUAGUUACCAGCACCUCGGGUGGGCACUCUAAGGAGACUGCCGGUGACAAACCGGAGGAAGGUGGGGAUGACGUCAAGUCAUCAUGGCCCUUACGGCCAGGGCUACACACGUGCUACAAUGGUCGGUACAAAGGGUUGCCAAGCCGCGAGGUGGAGCUAAUCCCAUAAAACCGAUCGUAGUCCGGAUCGCAGUCUGCAACUCGACUGCGUGAAGUCGGAAUCGCUAGUAAUCGUGAAUCAGAAUGUCACGGUGAAUACGUUCCCGGGCCUUGUACACACCGCCCGUCACACCAUGGGAGUGGGUUG
RNAcentral lists this ribosomal RNA (369 nucleotides) under Pseudomonas aeruginosa. Its description in RNAcentral is "bacterial SSU rRNA". It matches the Rfam family "Bacterial small subunit ribosomal RNA", at positions 1048 to 1417 of the family's 1533-position model. Lineage: Bacteria; Pseudomonadati; Pseudomonadota; Gammaproteobacteria; Pseudomonadales; Pseudomonadaceae. The record is from RNAcentral.